RNAcentral lists this ribosomal RNA (292 nucleotides) under uncultured bacterium. RNAcentral describes it as "partial 16S ribosomal RNA". It matches the Rfam family "Bacterial small subunit ribosomal RNA", at positions 505 to 796 of the family's 1533-position model. The record is from RNAcentral.
GUGCCAGCCGCCGCGGUAAUACGGAGGGUGCAAGCGUUGUUCGGAUUUACUGGGCGUAAAGAGCGUGUAGGCGGUUUAGCAAGUCAGAUGUGAAAGCCCUGGGCUUAACCCGGGAAGUGCAUUUGAAACUGCUUCACUAGAGUAUGGGAGAGGAGAUUGGAAUUCCUGGUGUAGAGGUGAAAUUCGUAGAUAUCAGGAGGAACACCCGUGGCGAAGGCGAUUCUCUGGACCAAUACUGACGCUGAGACGCGAAAGCGUGGGGAGCAAACAGGAUUAGAUACCCCAGUAGUCC